Raphanus sativus (radish) is the source of this 1060-nucleotide long non-coding RNA. RefSeq lists it as uncharacterized. NCBI's taxonomy places the organism in Eukaryota, Viridiplantae, Streptophyta, Magnoliopsida, Brassicales, Brassicaceae. The transcript is spliced from 5 exons. The record is from RefSeq and is a predicted model, not a curated record.
CUCGAACUCUUUAUCUCUACUCCUUCAUGUUUGCAUGUCUCUCUCUUUCUCUCACCUGCUCUCUAUUCUGAAUCCCCUCUAUUCUAGCUAAACCCUAACCUACUCCCCUCAAUUUCAUUUUAAGAGUGAAAAACCAUUUCCUUAUCCACAAGCCCAGAACGUUCUCGUUUUCUCCUCCGGUCUGAAGAAAAUGGCGACUGCAAACGCUCUCUCUUCCGCCUCCGUCUUCUGCUCUUCCCGCCAGGGAAAGAUGAGUGGUGGAAGUCAGCAGAGGUCAAAGAGAAACCGGAGGGCUUCUUACCCGGAUUGAGGGUUUGAGAAGUUUUAUUCCAAAGCAAGAGCUGGUGAAGAGAGUGAAUAGUUUCACAGAGUUGAAGGAAAACGUAAAGCAAGAGUUUCUUCUACUUCUGCUGUAACUUAGCGGACUGUUGAACUGAAGAGAUUAUCAGGAGGGUUGAAGAGAGUGAGAGCGCUUGGCCCGCUCGAGCAGCUGUUGUCUCUUGUGCUUCUGUCUGUAAAUCAUGGCGAGGAAUCACAGUGGAGAUUGUGGGAAUCCCUGAGCAGUGUGGGAAGCUCACUUUCCCUAUCUCAUUGAAACAGCCGGGUCCGCGAGACCUUCUUAUUCAAUGCCUUAUUAAAAGGAACAGAGCAACAGCUACGUAUAUUCUCUACUAUGGCUUGAUGCCUUGAGAGACGGAGAACGACAAGCUAUUGCUAGUGGCAAAAAGGGUUAGAAGAGCGAGCAUCCACUAAGCUAUCUGCUACUAGCUAUACCUAAGGAAUCAUUACCUACGAGCUCAAUGUUCUUCGCACAAGGGGACCGAGAAGAAUGCACUGCGUUAUGGACUCUGUAUCACUCGCUUCUGUAUCUCUGAGCCAUCAGUAGUUAAGGAAGAAGAAGCAUCUUCCAUCGGUAGUAUUGGUUUAGUGGUAGUUGAUAGUAUGUUUGAUAGGUUUUGAUGUAUUGAUUUUAUAUGUUUUGAAUAUUUACUGGAAAAGCAUAUGGUGUUUUAUCAUUCACUUGUGUUUCAUUAGAGUAAAUUAUAUAUUUUUAAUAUCA